Molecule: transfer RNA, 72 nt
Filed under: Penaeus vannamei (Pacific white shrimp)
Lineage: Eukaryota; Metazoa; Arthropoda; Malacostraca; Decapoda; Penaeidae
Description: transfer RNA cysteine (anticodon GCA)
Rfam family: tRNA
About the family: Transfer RNA (tRNA) molecules are approximately 80 nucleotides in length.
Source: Rfam by way of RNAcentral
AGGAGUGUAGCUCAGUGGUAGAGUAUUCGACUGCAGAUCGAGAGGUCCUUGGUUCAAUCCCGGGCGCCCCCU